AGCGAACGCUGGCGGCAGGCCUAACACAUGCAAGUCGAACGGAUCCUUCGGGAUUAGAGGACGACGGGUGAGUAACACGUGGGAACGUGCCCAUAGGUUCGGAACAACUCAAGGACACUGGAGCAAAUACCGGAUAUGCCCUUCGGGGGCACGAUUUAUCGCCAUUGGAGCGGCCCGCGUCUUAUAAGCUCGUUGGUUAGGUAACGGCCCACCAAGGCGACGAGCAGUAGCUGGUCUGAGAGGAUGAUCAGCCACACUGGUACUGAGACACGGCCCAGACUCCUACGGGAGGCAGCAGUGGGGAAUCUGGCGCAAUGGGCGAGAGCCUAACGCAGCCAUGCCGCGUGAAGGACGAAGGUCUUAGGAGGGUAAAAUUCUUUCAGCGGUGACGAUAAUGACGGUACCCGCAGAAUAAGCUCCGGCUAACUUCGUG
RNAcentral lists this ribosomal RNA (433 nucleotides) under uncultured bacterium. Its description in RNAcentral is "partial 16S ribosomal RNA". It matches the Rfam family "Bacterial small subunit ribosomal RNA", at positions 29 to 507 of the family's 1533-position model. The record is from RNAcentral.